Dermochelys coriacea (leatherback sea turtle) is the source of this 667-nucleotide long non-coding RNA. RefSeq lists it as uncharacterized. The transcript is spliced from 3 exons. Lineage: Eukaryota; Metazoa; Chordata; Testudines; Dermochelyidae. The record is from RefSeq and is a predicted model, not a curated record.
AUGAAGGCACAGAGGUGAAGUGACCUGUUCAUGGCAAGUCAGUGCCAAAGAGGAACUGAACCAAGGAGAUUUGACUGCUUGUCCUUUUCUCUACCCACUUCCCCCUGCCAGAGCUCCUGUGUCCAUGCCAGGUGUGUGGCUCAAUGGAACACCCCAGCCAAGCUACCAGGCAACUUCACUCCACUCAGGUGUUGAGGUUUCCUUAAGAAUUAAUAGGUGGUGACUAAGCACUGGCUUGUUGGCAGGUCCCAGGCCCAGUUAGCAGGUCUGUCUCCAUCCCUCCUGUGAUACAUGCACUGCUCCGAAGACUGGGGCUUGCACAGACCUGACAGGUAAAAUCCAGCUCCUUGCAGAGGCUGUGAAGUGUUUCACUGCUGCUAUUUUAGCAGAAACCUCCAGCUAAUGUGUUUAUCCCACAAGUCCACAAUGCCUCUCCACCUUCUGUGAUACACAUUUGUGGGGCCACCACAAAACCUGGCAGCUAGGGGCAGUGUAAGGGACCUGGAAUGUAAUAGCUACGCACGGCUCAUGUGGUGCCUCAUGGUCUCGGACACCAUCCCAUGGUCCAGGGACAUCUACAUUGAACACAUCACCGGCCACCGACAGUACCAGGAGGUGUGAGCCGGUACGACAUUGUGCAUCAACUAUGGGAAAGGGACUGAGAGAC